CUUCAGGGAGCCCAGCCACAGCGGGUGUUCGGGGUCGCGGCCCCGCCCGUACGUGGCCAGCAGGGCCUGCGCCUC
This 75-nucleotide antisense RNA is filed under the name Streptomyces sp. XY332. RNAcentral's name for it is "ASpks sRNA". It matches the Rfam family "ASpks TB sRNA". The record is from RNAcentral. RNAcentral also lists the same sequence under 1 other name. Lineage: Bacteria; Bacillati; Actinomycetota; Actinomycetes; Kitasatosporales; Streptomycetaceae.